GAACGGUAACAUAAAGAAGCUUGCUUCUUUGAUGACGAGUGGCGGACGGGUGAGUAAUGCUUGGGAAUCUAGCUUAUGGAGGGGGAUAACUACGGGAAACUGUAGCUAAUACCGCGUAGAAUCGAGAGAUGAAAGUGUGGGACCUUCGGGCCACAUGCCAUAGGAUGCGCCCAAGUGGGAUUAGGUAGUUGGUGAGGUAAAGGCUCACCAAGCCGACGAUCUCUAGCUGGUCUGAGAGGAUGACCAGCCACACUGGGACUGAGACACGGCCCAGACUCCUACGGGAGGCAGCAGUGGGGAAUAUUGCGCAAUGGGGGCAACCCUGACGCAGCCAUGCCGCGUGAAUGAAGAAGGCCUUCGGGUUGUAAAGUUCUUUCGGUAGCGAGGAAGGCAUUUAGUUUAAUAGACUAGGUGAUUGACGUUAACUACAGAAGAAGCACCGGCUAACUCCGUG
Molecule: ribosomal RNA, 454 nt
Filed under: uncultured bacterium
Lineage: Bacteria
Description: bacterial SSU rRNA
Rfam family: Bacterial small subunit ribosomal RNA
Source: RNAcentral